This 479-nucleotide ribosomal RNA is filed under the name uncultured bacterium. Its description in RNAcentral is "partial 16S ribosomal RNA". It matches the Rfam family "Bacterial small subunit ribosomal RNA", at positions 28 to 507 of the family's 1533-position model. The record is from RNAcentral.
GAUGAACGCUGGCGGCGUGCUUAACACAUGCAAGUCGAACGAAGCACUUAAGAUUGAUUCUUCGGAUGACGUCUUUUGUGACUUAGUGGCGGACGGGUGAGUAACGCGUGGGUAACCUGCCUCACACAGGGGGAUAACAGUUAGAAAUGACUGCCAAUACCGCAUAACCCGAUAGGAUCGCAUGAUCCAGACGGAAAAGAUUUAUCGGUGUGAGAUGGACCCGCGUCUGAUUAGCUAGUUGGUGAGGUAACGGCCCACCAAGGCGACGAUCAGUAGCCGGCCUGAGAGGGUGAACGGCCACAUUGGGACUGAGACACGGCCCAAACUCCUACGGGAGGCAGCAGUGGGGAAUAUUGCACAAUGGGGGAAACCCUGAUGCAGCGACGCCGCGUGAGUGAAGAAGUAUUUCGGUAUGUAAAGCUCUAUCAGCAGGGAAGAAAAUGACGGUACCUGACUAAGAAGCCCCGGCUAACUACGUG